CGAAAGCCUGACGGAGCAAUACCGCGUGCGGGAGGAAGGCCCUUGGGUCGUAAACCGCUUUUCUUAGGGAAGAAACCUGACGGUACCUAAGGAAUAAGCCUCGGCUAACUCCGUGCCAGCAGCCGCGGUAAUACGGAGGAGGCAAGCGUUAUCCGGAAUUAUUGGGCGUAAAGCGUCCGCAGGUGGCAGUUCAAGUCUGCUGUCAAAGACCGGGGCUUAACUUCGGAAAGGCAGUGGAAACUGAACAGCUAGAGUAUGGUAGGGGCAGAGGGAAUUCCUGGUGUAGCGGUGAAAUGCGUAGAGAUCAGGAAGAACAUCGGUGGCGAAGGCGCUCUGCUGGACCAUAACUGACACUCAGGGACGAAAGCUAGGGGAGCG
This 378-nucleotide ribosomal RNA is filed under the name uncultured cyanobacterium. Its description in RNAcentral is "bacterial SSU rRNA". It matches the Rfam family "Bacterial small subunit ribosomal RNA", at positions 376 to 770 of the family's 1533-position model. Lineage: Bacteria; Bacillati; Cyanobacteriota. The record is from RNAcentral.